GCAUGUGCUUUGGACAGGACUAAUUCAGAUAGAGUUUGCAAAAUCAAGAAAGAUUUCACUGAAGGGCCUUCUUAGUUAUGAUAACUUAGGAGUUAUUAAUGGACUGAACAUGCUGUGCUUGAAAAAUUUAUCUUUGUCCACAAGUUCUCCUUCAGAAGAUUCUUCAAGCUCUCCUUUACAAGAGUCUCUCUUUGAAGAUUUUAUGGAGAUGGUUCUGCAGAAGGAGUUGUCAUGUAGUAUCUCAAGUCUACCUGAGUAUCGGGAUUCGCUUUUUGAGACCUUGAAAAAUCCUGCCCAUAAGUUGCAUGAUGCCAUAUACCAUUCAGCAUUUCUCUCAGAUGAAGAGUUCUCUAAUCUAUGCAUUCACAUUCACCGUCUCGUUCGUCAUGAGAUGUUGAUGAGGAAUCAAGGAACUGAAUCAUGUUCAAUCUGUGCACAUCUAAAUGUGGCAUAUUAUGACCAAGAUGUUAUCUUUACUUGCCAGGGUCACUUCAUGUUAUCCAAUUUUCUUGGGGUACAUUCCAAAUUGGUUAAAGGGAAGCCAAUUGCUGGGCAGUAUCAUAGCAAUCCUUCUUUGAACAUAUUGCCAUAUCGACCCCACUCAGUUCUGCAUCCGAUAGGGUCAGCUUUGGUGGAUACUAUGCGAAUUGGUUGCAUGCAUUCCAUUGAAAACAAGUUGAUCAACGAUAUUUGUAAGGCAAGCUUCAAAGGUGUUAAGGACCCUUUACUUGACACGUACACCAGGAAGGAAGUCAUUCGCCUACUUCGCUAUACAUUCCCAAAUUAUGCUCAAUAUGCUCUUGAAGGUUUCAAGACUGAAGGUCUGCUUCAUAAGCUUGGGCUGAACCGCUUAAAGCCCAUACCUUCUAUUCUAAAUAUUUGAACCUCAG
Molecule: unclassified non-coding RNA, 890 nt
Filed under: Zea mays
Lineage: Eukaryota; Viridiplantae; Streptophyta; Magnoliopsida; Poales; Poaceae
Description: misc RNA Zm00001eb121730
Source: RNAcentral